RNAcentral lists this long non-coding RNA (2382 nucleotides) under Oreochromis niloticus (Nile tilapia). Its description in RNAcentral is "lncRNA (ENSONIG00000023151.2)". Lineage: Eukaryota; Metazoa; Chordata; Actinopteri; Cichliformes; Cichlidae. The record is from RNAcentral.
CUCAGGCUGAAGACCUAACACAGACGAGGGGCAGACGAAAUAAUGAGAGAGAAGUAAAGACAAGAAACGUGAUGACAAAAAGCACUCGUGAAUCAAUUGUAGAUGGUUCAGCACCGUCAGCUUACAGCCACUGCCGGGAUUCCUCAGUGGAAACACUUUCAGAGACAUUUGCAGUGCUAGAGUAUUUGGACUGGUUUCAUUUAGCUGGAUGUGUGUUGGAGUUAAAACUGCUGAUUAAUGAAGAAAAUCAGAUUUUGAUCCACAUGCAGUAACAUCUGGAAGAUUCUGAUUGGCAGCCUCAUUUUUCAGCCUGACAAUGAUCCCAAACACACUGCCAGUGCAGUGAAAGCAUGCCAACACACAGUGGAGCAUCCCUGAAGCAGUGUGGGGACAUCCUGAGGCAGAAACAUCCAAAGAAGAGCUCUGAACGUCCUUCAAGAAGCCUGGAGAAGAGAUCCUCAGAGAGCUGAAGGAUGAAGGUGCUCACACCAAACAUUCAUUGUCAAGCUCGUUGGCUGAAGGCUUCAGUGCAGUUCUGUCUAAUGAUGUGCUACCUGGUUGCUAGCUGCAGGCAGAGCUAUGUAAGGCUCAUAUCAACACAUUACAGAUGGUGAGACUGUUAGCUGUUUGCAAUAAUCUGGUUCAUUUAUAUGAAUUAAUUCGGUGAACAUCCAAAUCCACAAUCUGAAAACACCUGAGCGAGGAUCAACAAUAAAAACGAUCCCGGAGGCUAAACUGUUAACUGUAUGUGUGUGUGUGUGUGUGUGUGUGUUGACAUCCCAGGGUACAACAGGAGCAGCUGGCAGCCAUCUUCCAGCUGCUGAAGGCGAACCAGGAGGUGACGGAGGCCGACAUAGAGGAGCAGCUGAAGCUUUACUCCCUCUGAAACACGAGAGACGCCAUCGAUCUGUCCACUCAGGAAGUCUAUCUCCAUGACCGCCAUCAUCAACAUCGUGUCCAAAUCACCACAGCUGGAUGUCACAUGCUUGUUUAUUAAAAAGUUGGAUUUCUUGUCCUGUUCUGAUGUUCGACGCUCAGAGUGACUCCAGACUGCAGCUCGCCAUCUGUCAGACUCUUAAUAGUGACAUCACUUCCUGCCAAAGUAAUGCUAGGCUAAAUUUUAGUAGCAGUUUGAAGAAGGCACUAAAUGAAGCUGGCAGGCUUCAGAUUCAUAUUCAUGUUGGCUCUCGUCUGAGAGCUUCUGACGUCACCAAAGACCAAAAAAAGAAACAGUGUGUGGGAUGAUUUCAGCCUCAAAGCUCACUGAACUCUUUUAUACAUUAAUCUCUGUUAGUCAAAAAAAAAAACAUUUCAGUGCUCAUUAACAAACAUUUUUCAAAUAUUUGCUGUAAAUAUUGUUAUUUUAAAAUAUAUUAAUGUAACUUUUUUGCAUGAAUUUUGUCAUGAAAACAACUUUUUUCCCCUCCACCGUUCAUUUUUUAUUUAUUUUAUAGUUCAUUUAAAGCAUUUAUAGUAUUUUUAAUUAGUUUUCACAAUAAUAAUAAAAAUGUCCCCAAGUGUCCCCCGAGCUGUGAUUGGCCUCCUACACAGUUCUGGCUGCUUCUUCUUCUGUCACUGUUUUUCUGCACUGACCCCGGAGUAUCUGCAGUCACAAUAAAGCUGUUUGAAUUCUCGCAUUUGAGUGAAAUGUUAUAUUUCCCUGCAGGAAACGACAGAACACGCUGGGAUGAUCGUAAGACCGGCUUCUGUAGUCCAUCCUGUAGACAUUGUAGUUUCAGCAGUGCAGACAUGAUUAAGGAGUCCAGCGUAAAAGCAGUCUGCUUCUCCUUUCCUAAGUCCUUUUAAGUCUCUCCGUCACACCUUUCCUUCACUCCAUGGCCUUUUCCCACUGUGUGGAAACUGAUCUGGAAAAGGAGACAUGAGUUCAUGUCGGGGCAGCUGGAUCGACUCACAGAGAGAAACAUCAGUGCCACCUAGUGGUUGAUGGUGAAACUGCAGAACAACAGGCUCAGCAGCAGAGGCUUGUUUGUUUGGAGCUGCAGGCUGUGUUUCCUCCUGUGAGCAGCAGAGGGCAGCAUUUCACUAAACCACACAGCUUCAAGGCUUCACCUCUGAGACUGAGCAGAAACACGCUCUGCUUCCUGUUCGAGCUCUCUGUUUUUUCGUCUCACCCUCCCUUACUUCAUUUUUCAGGAGAGCCGACAAGGAAAAUGUCGGUCGAGUGAACCACGGGGUCGUCGAACUGAAACAGGCUCUCCUGCACACAGUCCUCAUUUAUACAGUUCUCUGCAAACCCGAACAUCACGGCUAACAGGAGGAUUUUCCUGUUCCAGCACAGCCAAACAUCGAAGAACCACUUACUGCUAAAGAGACUGACAGGGGAAGUGCGCACUACAUCCUUGGUUUCUUAACAUAGAGCUU